This 64-nucleotide ribosomal RNA is filed under the name Tricholoma scalpturatum. Its description in RNAcentral is "partial small subunit ribosomal RNA". The record is from RNAcentral. Lineage: Eukaryota; Fungi; Basidiomycota; Agaricomycetes; Agaricales; Tricholomataceae. RNAcentral also lists the same sequence under 1 other name.
UUGCAUAUCCAAUUAUAUUUAUUAUAAUUGAGUAAUUUUUAUAAUAUUUAAAAAUUCGUUUACA